AAUCUCCUUCUAGAUUGGUGUAACCGAACAAGCCUUAAUAGAGCCAGAUACUACUUCUUUGAAGAGUUCGGGGCACUAAAACAUAUUAUCCUCCAAUGAACCCUAUAAUCGGAAUUAGUUUCAUUUUCCUAUCGCACAUACUUUUGGUGCCUAGCUAUUUCGCCGCCGCACCUGUGUUCCAGAAGUUGCGGCCAAUCGAUCUGAUCCAGAGCAGGGGAGCAGCCUGGCAUCACCUCGUCGGUGGAGCAUCGAUCCAAAACCUGCAAGUAUGUUAGAGGCCGUUGGAGCACCUGUUCCUCUCUGGACAUGAGGACGGACGGACCAUCGGGUAGAGGCGUAGAGCAGAGCAAUGGAGAUCCUGGGGGCGACGAUUGGUGAAGGCAGAGGCGGACCCACGUUGGGCACAGCUCCCACUCAAUUUUCUAGUUUUAGUGGAGUUUUUAUCUUAUUCACUGUAGCUAUGAAGAUUUAUUAGUAAGGCUAUGUUCGGUAGUCGUGGUUAUAAUCAACAAGUGGAAUUAAUCCAGACGUGGAUUGAGUGGAUCCCCUGCCGUCACUUUUUCCCUGUGUGGUUUAA
This is a long non-coding RNA of Zea mays, 577 nucleotides long. RefSeq lists it as uncharacterized. The transcript is spliced from 2 exons. The record is from RefSeq and is a predicted model, not a curated record. NCBI's taxonomy places the organism in Eukaryota, Viridiplantae, Streptophyta, Magnoliopsida, Poales, Poaceae.